Molecule: ribosomal RNA, 450 nt
Filed under: uncultured bacterium
Lineage: Bacteria
Description: partial 16S ribosomal RNA
Rfam family: Bacterial small subunit ribosomal RNA
Source: RNAcentral
GUGGGGAAUUUUGGACAAUGGGCGCAAGCCUGAUCCAGCAAUGCCGCGUGCAGGAAGAAGGCCUUCGGGUUGUAAACUGCUUUUGUACGGAACGAAACGGCUCUGGUUAAUACCCGGGGCUAAUGACGGUACCGUAAGAAUAAGCACCGGCUAACUACGUGCCAGCAGCCGCGGUAAUACGUAGGGUGCAAGCGUUAAUCGGAAUUACUGGGCGUAAAGCGUGCGCAGGCGGUUUUGUAAGACAGGCGUGAAAUCCCCGGGCUCAACCUGGGAAUGGCGCUUGUGACUGCAAAGCUGGAGUGCGGCAGAGGGGGAUGGAAUUCCGCGUGUAGCAGUGAAAUGCGUAGAUAUGCGGAGGAACACCGAUGGCGAAGGCAAUCCCCUGGGCCUGCACUGACGCUCAUGCACGAAAGCGUGGGGAGCAAACAGGAUUAGAUACCCUGGUAGUCC